Molecule: non-coding RNA, 30 nt
Filed under: Cricetulus griseus (Chinese hamster)
Lineage: Eukaryota; Metazoa; Chordata; Mammalia; Rodentia; Cricetidae
Source: RNAcentral
UUUGUCAAGUCUCCAGUCCUGACUGCAUGC